CGUAGGUCCCGAGCGUUAUCCGGAUUUAUUGGGCGUAAAGCGAGCGCAGGCGGUUAGAUAAGUCUGAAGUUAAAGGCUGUGGCUUAACCAUAGUACGCUUUGGAAACUGUUUAACUUGAGUGCAGAAGGGAGGGUGGAUUCCAUGUGUAGCGGUGAAAUAGCGUAGAUAUAUGGAGGAACACCGGUGGCGAAAGACGGCUCUCUGGUCUGUAACUGACGCUGAGGCUCGAAAGCGUGGGGAGCAAACAGGAUU
This 253-nucleotide ribosomal RNA is filed under the name uncultured bacterium. Its description in RNAcentral is "partial 16S ribosomal RNA". It matches the Rfam family "Bacterial small subunit ribosomal RNA", at positions 526 to 779 of the family's 1533-position model. The record is from RNAcentral.